CAACCCUUAAGCCUAGCUUAGUGUUGGGAGUCUAUGAGUGGGCCACGUUACCCUGUAGCGUGGUUACCCUGUAGUUCCUGAAAAUCAACGGCGGAUUUACAGUAUCCUCUGAGCGUAGUAAUUCUUUAUCUCGCUUCUGCUUAGGUACUGUAACUUUGGCCGCUAAACCCCCAAAAUUUUUGUG
This 184-nucleotide unclassified non-coding RNA is filed under the name Pseudobeltrania cedrelae. The record is from RNAcentral. Lineage: Eukaryota; Fungi; Ascomycota; Sordariomycetes; Amphisphaeriales; Beltraniaceae.